This is a non-coding RNA of Manis javanica (Malayan pangolin), 458 nucleotides long. NCBI's taxonomy places the organism in Eukaryota, Metazoa, Chordata, Mammalia, Pholidota, Manidae. The record is from RefSeq and is a predicted model, not a curated record.
GCCGACCCCCACAAUCCCAAGUGCCCCGGACACUUCCUGUGCCUUUAACGCACCUGCUCCUUUCCAAGCAGUGCAGAGAACAACUGAAGAGAAAGAGGAAUGCGGGCAGGGGGCCAUCCAGGGCCGGAUGCCAGGGGAUGCGCAAGGCCGAGCUCGUGCCCUUGACUGGCCAAGUCCCUCCAGGUUUCCUGAUGGCCUGUCCACUACAGCAGAGAGCCAGCCCGCCUCCAGCUCCUGACCGUCCCCAUAUCUCAGAGAAGAAACCCAGCCCGAGCUUGGUUCCUGUCCCCUCAUUUCGGCGUGUGCCCCGACCCCCAGCCUGCCCCAUGCAGCUCCCAAGGUCACGUGCUGCGGAAACUGUCUGCAAGGUAGUAUCUUCCUGCAGAUACCCAAGCGGUCACCCUUGUCCCUGCCUCAUCCUUAUCACCGCCACCCCAGUCAGAGGAGGCAAUGCCAAC